This is a long non-coding RNA of Sorghum bicolor (sorghum), 408 nucleotides long. RefSeq lists it as uncharacterized. The transcript has 2 exons. Lineage: Eukaryota; Viridiplantae; Streptophyta; Magnoliopsida; Poales; Poaceae. The record is from RefSeq and is a predicted model, not a curated record.
AGCUAUGUGAUAUAUAACCUUACCUCCAUAUAUGUUCAUGUGAUACAGGCAAGAGGACUUCUUCACUCCGUAUGAUGAAGUUUGUGAGAGUUUUGAUGACAUGGCCAUCCAAGAGAAUCCUUUUAGAGGAAUUUAUACUUAUGGAAACAACACGAACACAGGAGCGGCGGCCACAACGCCCGUGGCACUUGAAAAGGAGAAAAAGAAGAGAAAAAGAAAGCGCAGGGGAAGGAAGGCAAGGAGCACACCGACGAUCGUGCAGCCCAACCGCAACAACAAGAAUAGUCACUUUGCUUUUGGAAGACGGUCUGUAGGUUAGCCAAGCAAAUGGGUUGCAUCUUUGGGUGAACCCGUGUCUAACCAUAUUGACAGAAAUAGAAAUUACUAUACGGUGAAAAAUUUCCUUCA